This is a long non-coding RNA of Diorhabda carinulata, 1316 nucleotides long. RefSeq lists it as uncharacterized. The transcript has 2 exons. The record is from RefSeq and is a predicted model, not a curated record. NCBI's taxonomy places the organism in Eukaryota, Metazoa, Arthropoda, Insecta, Coleoptera, Chrysomelidae.
CAUUGUUUAUUUACAUUUUUUUGGUUACAUCGUUUUAGUUUCAUUUGGAUUUUGAUCCUUUUUUUUUAAAUGCAUGUAAAACAAACAGUUUUUGUUCUUAAUGAUUAUUGGAUACUUGUGUAACAUCUCUAUGUGUGAAUACGAUCAGCUGAUGAGUUGUAUGUAAAGUGAAAAACAAGGAAAUAAAAAUCGGGGCAUAACCUACUGGAAAAAUGUAUGAAACAUUUACCACAAUUUUUCAAAAAAUUUAAAUUGGAAUCCUUGUUAAUUGGUUAAUUUCACGUUUACGAAUGCACAAAGGUCAAUGAAAUUUGAUUACAGCAGCAUGGAUAUAAAACCAGACAGUUAAGGUGAUAAUUAAGAAUAGAAUAAUCAAUUUGAACCAAAACUUUUGUAUAAAAUAUUUCUUUUAUUGAAAGGUUAAUUUAUUGACACACUGUAUAUUAUAUCAGUCAGUCUUUAUAUUUACAUAGUCUGACAAUGAGAAAACAACGUGGAUUCGAAGACAUUUUAACAAAUUUCAUUUACACAGUGAGACAAUAAAUUAACGAUCAACAAUAAGAAAACAACGUGGAUUCCAAGACAUUUUCACUUGUUUUCUUUAAAGAUUGAUUUUUAAUCAUUUUAACUUGAAAUAUUCAGUCUUUAAACUAAAAAAAUUAUGUUGUUUAUAGUUUUAAGUGAAUAUGUGUAAGUCAAAUUCUUUAAACCUCCCAAGCCAAUCUUGUAGAUCCAUUUUUUUUGUAAAUUGGAAUUUUAUGAUUAAAUCGGUAAAAUUGUUAUUGAUGGCAAGAACUUAUUAAAACUUUGUGGAUAUUGUAUAAAAACAUUCUUCUGAAGUAUUUAUUCGUUAAUUAUAAUCAAUAAAAAUAUGUCAUUUGAUUUUUUAAAUUAAUAAAAUGCAAAACAAUUAAAUGCAACAAACUUGUGAAGUGAAUAUGAAGGUUUUUUUUUUCGUAAUAACAAUGGAUACAAAAUAAUGAACUACUAGUUUGGAUGUAAAGUUUGAAUUCCUGGAACUGUUAGUUAAAACUCAUACUGAAUACUUAAAGUAGAUAAAAAGGACAAGUCACUGCAAUUGUGGUAUUGCAGUUGUAAUAAAUUACACCCCUAUUUAAUCCACUUAUUAGGCCAAAAAUUAUAUAGAAAGUUCAAAAUCAGCCCUUUUAGCACUGUAAAUAACAACUUCAAUAUAAAUCUAAUCAAGGUGAUAACUUUGAUAUUUCAGUGUCAUAAAUGGUGUAUUUAUGUCAUAUUGUUUACUAUCUUUUCAUAUCUCAAAAAAAUGAGUUAUAAUAAAAUUUGAUCGAUUUUAA